UAAAACGCGAAAGGGCGAUAGGCGGAUGCCUAGAUACCAAGAGGCGAAGAAAGACGUGGCACACUGCGAAAAGCGGCGGGGAGAUGUGAGCAAUCAGUGAUCCGUCGAUGUCUGAAUGGGGAAACCCACCACCAUGAGUGGUAUUUGCACCUGAAUACAUAGGGUGUAGAAGCGAACCUAGGGAAUUGAAACAUCUUAGUACCUAGAGGAAAGGAAAUCGAAAGAGACUCCGUGAGUAGUGGUGAGCGAAAGCGGAAGAGGCCAUUAGUGUUUAAUGAGGCGAGUCGAACAACUUGGGAAAGUUGGCGCGAGAGGUGAAAGCCCUGUAGACGAAGUCGAGUUAGAUGCUAGAGAGUAGGGCGGAGCACGAGAAAUUCCGUUUGAAUAAGGGGGGACCACCCUCCAAGCCUAAGUACUCCUUGGUGAUCGAUAGAGGAAGUACCGUGAGGGAAAGGUGAAAAGAACCCCGAUAAGGGGAGUGAAAUAGAAUCUGAAACCUAUUGCUUACAAUCAGUCAGAGCACUUUGAGAUAGAGGUGUGAUGGCGUACCUUUUGCAUAAUGGGUCAGCGAGUUUAUGUACGUAGCGAGGUUAAGCCGUUAGGUGUAGCCGGAGCGAAAGCGAGUCUUAAUAGGGCGAGAGUUACGUGUAUAAGACCCGAAGCCGUAGUGAUCUAGCCAUGAGCAGGUUGAAGUUGUGCUAAUCCGCAAUGGAGGACCGAACCCAAGCAUGUUGCAAAAUGCUGGGAUGACUUGUGGUUAGGGGUGAAAGGCCAAUCAAACACGGCGAUAGCUGGUUCUCCGCGAAAUCUAUUUAGGUAGAGCGUUGUCUAGAGCCUAACGGGGGUAGAGCACUGAAUAGGUGAGGGGGAAGCGAUUCCUACCGAUCUUUAUCAAACUCCGAAUACCGUUAGAGUAGAGACAGCAGACAGACUAUGGGUGCUAAGUCCGUAGUCGAGAGGGAAACAACCCAGACUGUCAUCUAAGGUCCCUAAGGAUUCGUUAAGUGUGGAAGAAUGUGUGAUAACCAAUACAGCUAGGAGGUUGGCUUAGAAGCAGCCAUCCUUUAAAGAAAGCGUAAUAGCUCACUAGUCUAUAUAUUAAGUUGUCAUGCGUCGAAAAUGUACCGGGGCUUAAACGAAUCACCGAAGAUACAGACACUGCUUUAAAGUGGUGUGGUAGCGGAGCGUUCUGGAGGUUGAAGAAGGUGUACCGAGAGGUAUGCUGGAGAUAACAGAAGUGAGAAUGCUGACAUGAGUAACGAAAAGGCGUGUGAGAAACGCGCCGGCCGAAAGUCCAAGGUUUCCUGCGCACGGGUAAUCCGCGCAGGGUUAGUCGACCCCUAAGGCGAGGGCGAGAGCCGUAGUCGAUGGGAAGCAGGUUAAUAUUCCUGCACCAGUUUGGAAGUGACGGAGUUGAAGGUGUGUUGUGCGUUAAUGGAUUCGUGCAGCUGCUGGAAAUUUCCAGGAAAUAGCCCAAACAGAGAUCGUACCGCAAACCGACACAGGUGGACAGGUAGAGAAUACUAAGGCGUUGAGAGAAUUGUGUUGAAGGAACUCGGCAAAAUGACUCCGUAACUUCGGGAGAAGGAGUGCCAUGUUCUUGGCAACAGGAGUGUGGUGGCACAGAAGAGGGGGUAGCGACUGUUUAUCAAAAACAUAGGGCACUGCGAAAUUGAGAGAUGACGUAUAGUGUCUGACGCCUGCCCGGUGCCGGAAGGUUAAGGAGAGAUGUGAGAGCGUUGAUCUGAAGCCCCGGUAAACGGCGGCCGUAAAUAUAACGGUCCUAAGGUAGCGAAAUUCCUUGUCGGGUAAGUUCCGACCUGCAUGAAUGGCGUAACGACUUCCCCGCUGUCUCCAACACAAGCUCAGUGAAAUUGAAAUCCCCGUGAAGAUGCGGGGUACCCGCGGUUAGACGGAAAGACCCUGUGCACCUUUACUACAGCUUUGCAUUGGUGUUAGGUGAUACAUGUGUAGGAUAGAUGGGAGUCUAGGAAGGCUGCGCGCUAGCGUGGUUGGAGACAACGUUGAAAUACCAUUCUUGUAUCAUCUGGCAUCUAACUGGACGCCAUGAAGCUGGCGACAGGACAAUGCAUGGUGGGUAGUUUGACUGGGGCGGUCGCCUCCGAAAGAGUAACGGAGGCGUGCGAAGGUAAGCUCAAGCUGGAUGGAAAUCAGCUGCAGAGUGCAAUGGCAUAAGCUUGCCUAACUGAAAGACGUACAUGUCGACCAGAGACGAAAGUCGGUCAUAGUGAUCCGGUGGUUCCGAGUGGAAGGGCCAUCGCUCAACGGAUAAAAGGUACGCCAGGGAUAACAGGCUGAUCUCCCCCAAGAGUCCAUAUCGACGGGGAGGUUUGGCACCUCGAUGUCGGCUCAUCACAUCCCGGGGCUGGAGCAGGUCCCAAGGGUAUGGCUGUUCGCCAUUUAAAGUGGUACGCGAGCUGGGUUCAGAACGUCGUGAGACAGUUCGGUCCCUAUCUGCCGUGGGUGUGUGGAAAAUUGACAGGAUCUGUCCCUAGUACGAGAGGACCGGGAUGGACAUACCACUGGUGUACCAGUUGUUCUGCCAAGAGCAGCGCUGGGUAGCUAAGUAUGGAAGGGAUAACCGCUGAAAGCAUCUAAGCGGGAAACCCACCUGGAAACGAGUUUUCCCUAGGAGAGACGUUGAAGACUACGACGUAAAUAGGCUGGGUGUGGAAGCGCAGUAAUGUGUGAAGCUAACCAGUACUAAUAACUCCAAUGGUUUUAAGAA
Molecule: ribosomal RNA, 2749 nt
Filed under: Alphaproteobacteria bacterium bin98
Lineage: Bacteria; Pseudomonadati; Pseudomonadota; Alphaproteobacteria
Description: bacterial LSU rRNA
Rfam family: Bacterial large subunit ribosomal RNA
Source: RNAcentral